RNAcentral lists this small RNA (95 nucleotides) under Salmonella enterica. RNAcentral describes it as "partial RtT sRNA". It matches the Rfam family "RtT RNA", at positions 1 to 91 of the family's 130-position model. Rfam says of the family: This family represents a bacterial cis-regulatory element known as RtT RNA. The exact function of RtT is unknown although it is thought that it may be involved in changing the cellular response in relation to amino acid starvation. Lineage: Bacteria; Pseudomonadati; Pseudomonadota; Gammaproteobacteria; Enterobacterales; Enterobacteriaceae. The record is from RNAcentral. RNAcentral also lists the same sequence under 2 other names.
UGUAUCGGAAGCCUGACGAGGAUGAGAACCUCCGGGGGCAAGAGGUUCGACUCGAGCGCAGCGAGAGAACGUUGCGUCAGCAACGGCCCGCAGGG